This 495-nucleotide ribosomal RNA is filed under the name uncultured bacterium. RNAcentral describes it as "bacterial SSU rRNA". It matches the Rfam family "Bacterial small subunit ribosomal RNA", at positions 903 to 1397 of the family's 1533-position model. The record is from RNAcentral.
AAAUGAAUUGACGGGGGCCCGCACAAGCAGUGGAGCAUGUGGUUUAAUUCGACGCGACCCGAAGAACCUUACCAGGUCUUGACAUCUACUUAAGGCCUUAGAGAUGAGGCCGUGCCUUCGGGAAAAGUAAGACAGGUGGUGCAUGGUUGUCGUCAGCUCGUGUCGUGAGAUGUUGGGUUAAGUCCCGCAACGAGCGCAACCCUUGAUGUUGGUUGCCAGCAGGUAAAGCUGGGCACUCCAGCGUGACUGCCGUAGAGAAUACGGAGGAAGGCGGGGAUGACGUCAAAUCAUCAUGCCCUAUAUGACCUGGGCUACACACGUGCUACAAUGGGGUGAACAACGGGAGGCGAGCCUGCGAAGGUAAGCGGAACCCUAAAAACACCUCUCAGUUCGGAUUGCAGGCUGCAACUCGCCUGCAUGAAGUCGGAAUUGCUAGUAAUCGCGGAUCAGCAAGCCGCGGUGAAUACGUUCCCGGGCCUUGUACACACCGCCCGU